Molecule: ribosomal RNA, 506 nt
Filed under: uncultured bacterium
Lineage: Bacteria
Description: partial 16S ribosomal RNA
Rfam family: Bacterial small subunit ribosomal RNA
Source: RNAcentral
GAUGAACGCUAGCUACAGGCUUAACACAUGCAAGUCGAGGGGUAACGAGAGGAAAGCUUGCUUUCCUUGUCGACGACCGGCGCACGGGUGAGUAACGCGUAUCCAACCUGCUCCCAACUAGGGAAUAACCUUGCGAAAGUAAGACUAAUACCCUAUAAUUUCCUCAGAUGUCAUCUGACGAGGAAUAAAGAUUUAUCGGUUGUGGAUGGGGAUGCGUCUGAUUAGCUUGUUGGCGGGGUAACGGCCCACCAAGGCAACGAUCAGUAGGGGUUCUGAGAGGAAGGUCCCCCACAUUGGAACUGAGACACGGUCCAAACUCCUACGGGAGGCAGCAGUGAGGAAUAUUGGUCAAUGGGCGGAAGCCUGAACCAGCCAAGUAGCGUGCAGGAUGACGGCCCUAUGGGUUGUAAGCUGCUUUUAUACAGGAAUAAAGUUAGCCACGUGUGGUUAUUUGUAGGUACUGUAUGAAUAAGGACCGGCUAAUUCCGUGCCAGCCGCCGCGGUAA